UAAGGAAUAUUGGUCAAUGGACGAAAGUCUGAACCAGCCAUGCCGCGUGGAGGAUGAAGGUCCUCUGGAUUGUAAACUUCUUUUAUAGGGGACGAAAAAAGGAAAUUCUUUUCCGUCUGACGGUACCCUAUGAAUAAGCACCGGCUAACUCCGUGCCAGCAGCCGCGGUAAUACGGAGGGUGCAAGCGUUAUCCGGAUUCACUGGGUUUAAAGGGUGCGUAGGCGGACAGGUAAGUCAGUGGUGAAAUCUUCGAGCUUAACUCGGAAACUGCCUUUGAUACUAUCUGUCUUGAAUAUUGUGGAGGUAAGCGGAAUAUGUCAUGUAGCGGUGAAAUGCUUAGAUAUGACAUAGAACACCUAUUGCGAAGGCAGCUUACUACGCAUAUAUUGACGCUGAGGCACGAAAGCGUGGGGAUCAAAC
RNAcentral lists this ribosomal RNA (421 nucleotides) under uncultured bacterium. Its description in RNAcentral is "bacterial SSU rRNA". It matches the Rfam family "Bacterial small subunit ribosomal RNA", at positions 355 to 773 of the family's 1533-position model. The record is from RNAcentral.